This 382-nucleotide ribosomal RNA is filed under the name uncultured eukaryote. RNAcentral describes it as "partial 18S ribosomal RNA". It matches the Rfam family "Eukaryotic small subunit ribosomal RNA", at positions 591 to 976 of the family's 1831-position model. The record is from RNAcentral.
CCAAUAGCGUAUAUUAAAGCUGUUGCGGUUAAAAAGCUCGUAGUUGGAUUUCUGUCAAGGACAACUGGUCCGCCCUCCGGGUGAGCACAUAGUUUGGUCUUGGCAUCUUGCUGGAAGCUGUUGCUGCGCUUGGUUGUGUGGUGCAGCUUUCAGCACUUUCACUUUGAGGAAAUUGGAGUGUUUCAAGCAGGCACAUGCCUUUGGACACAGUAGCAUGGAAUAAUUAGAUUGGGCUUUUGCUCCAACUUGUUGGUUCCUGGAGCUGAGGUGAGAAUCAAUGGGGAUUGUUGGGGGCAUCCGAAUUUAGCCGUCAGAGGUGAAAUUCUUGGAUCUGCUAAAGACGGACAACUGCGAAAGCGUUUGCCCAGGAUGUUUUCAUUGA